Molecule: ribosomal RNA, 1385 nt
Filed under: uncultured bacterium
Lineage: Bacteria
Description: 16S ribosomal RNA
Rfam family: Bacterial small subunit ribosomal RNA
Source: RNAcentral
AGAGUUUGAUCCUGGCUCAGGAUAAACGCUGGCGGCGCACAUAAGACAUGCAAGUCGAACGGACGACUUUGAUCUGUUUUACUUAUCAAAGAAGUUAGUGGCGGACUGGUGAGUAACACGUAAGCAACCUGCCUACAAAAGGGGAACAACAGCGAGAAAUCGCUGCUAAUACCGCAUAAGCUAACGCCUUCGCAUGAAGAAGUUAGAAAAGGAGUAAUCCGUUUGUAGAUGGGCUUGCGUCUGAUUAGCUAGUUGGUGUGGUAACGGCAUACCAAGGCGACGAUCAGUAGCUGUGCUGAGAGGCAAAACAGCCACAUUGGGACUGAGAUACGGCCCAGACUCCUACGGGAGGCAGCAGUCGGGAAUAUUGCACAAUGGAGGAAACUCUGAUGCAGUGACGCCGCGUAUAGGAAGAAGGUUUUCGGAUUGUAAACUAUUUUAGACAGGGAAGAAUAAAGACGGUACCUGUAGAAUAAGCCCCGGCUAACUAUGUGCCAGCAGCCGCGGUAAUACAUAGGGGGCAAGCGUUAUCCGGAAUUAUUGGGCGUAAAGGGUGCGUAGACGGGAAAAUAAGUUAGUUGUGAAAUCCCUCGGCUUAACUGAGGAACUGCAACUAAAACUGUUUUUCUUGAGUGCAGGAGAGGAAAGCGGAAUUCCUAGUGUAGCGGUGAAAUGCGUAGAUAUUAGGAGGAACACCAGUGGCGAAGGCGGCUUUCUGGACUGUAACUGACGUUGAGGCACGAAAGUGUGGGGAGCAAACAGGAUUAGAUACCCUGGUAGUCCACACUGUAAACGAUGGAUACUAGGUGUAGGAGGUAUUAAGCCUUCUGUGCCGUCGCAAACGCAGUAAGUAUCCCGCCUGGGGAGUACGGCCGCAAGGUUGAAACUCAAAGGAAUUGACGGGGGCCCGCACAAGCAGUGGAGUAUGUGGUUUAAUUCGAUGCAACGCGAAGAACCUUACCAGGGCUUGACAUAUACAGGAAUAACUAAGAGAUUAGUUAGCUCUUCGGAGUCUGUAUACAGGUGGUGCAUGGUUGUCGUCAGCUCGUGUCGUGAGAUGUUGGGUUAAGUCCCGCAACGAGCGCAACCCUUAUCCUCAGUAGCCAGCAGGUAAAGCUGGGCACUCUGUGGAGACUGCCAGGGACAACCUGGAGGAAGGUGGGGAUGACGUCAAAUCAUCAUGCCCCUUAUGACUUGGGCUACACACGUGCUACAAUGGCGUAAACAAAGGGAAGCGAGCCUGCGAGGGGGAGCAAAUCCCAAAAAUAACGUCCCAGUUCGGACUGUAGUCUGCAACCCGACUACACGAAGCUGGAAUCGCUAGUAAUCGCGAAUCAGAAUGUCGCGGUGAAUACGUUCCCGGGUCUUGCACUCACCGCCCGUCA